UUUUAAGGGAAAAUUUUCCAGAUAUGCUGGAUUGAGAAUAUCACUGGUCAGUUAGUGCCGUUCGUCUGGUUUUAAUGGCAGCUGAUGCGCUUUGGAGGCCUAUGGUGGUUUGGUCAUUUGUUUCGGGAAAAUGUUUUCCCAAGCCCUCUGUACAUAACAAUAGGGUGACUUAUGAAGAACUACUUGUGAUUCAUGCUGUGAAUAAGCAUUGCUAGUUAGAAUAACUGCCCUACAAAAAUCACACAUUUUACUGGAUGCUUAAGUAUUGAACUAGUAUGUUGCUUGGCAAUACUAUCUUGUCUGACAUAACAUUUCUCUUAAUUUGUGGAUAUGACAUUACUUUUGAUUCAUUGGACAAGACAUUUCUUUCAAUGUGAUGCAGAAACUUGAUAAACCAAACUGAGCAACUUUAUUCAUGCAGGCUGAUCAGAUGCAGAUCUAAUUAAGACCUACAAUGUAAUAGAACAGCAAACAACCAAGAAUUAUCCAAACAAAAGAUUUCCAAUACUACUUAUUCUGAAUCCCAUAAAACUACUACCUAGUAACUAUUGUUUAAACAGUAACUGACACGCAUUAGUCAUAUUUAGGCAUAAAUACUAGUAGUCAGCACAACUUUUGCCCUGUCUUGCUUAGCGGAGUGCAGAAAUAAGGCCAGGGUUUCUGGAGUUCAGAUGAUCCCAUGUUUUCUUUGCAUAGCCACUUAUUAAUAGCACCCUCACAAUAUAAUUUAAAGUAUUUUAAGAAUCCAUACUUGAAGAAAAAAAAGGAUAGUGGCCCAGUCCAGGCACUAAAAAUACUGCUCGGGGAAUCCGUUUGCACAGUUGAAUAUAAUAGCAAAGAUUAAAUGACGUAAUGAGACUUAAAAAUACAUCCUCUGCGUGUCCGUCUUAUUGUUCCCAUAGAUUCAAUAUGCAUUAAUAUCUUUCCAUGUUGAUGAUGCAUAUUCACUCCUCUGGUGGUUUCUUCUUUGCCUCCACGUCCUUCUUAAAAGCUUCUAUCUUCUUCGCAAUGUUGGGUACCUUAAACAGAGUAGAUGCCAAACUGAAGAGUUCAAUGUGCUUGUCAAACAUGCCAAAAGGGGAACCGCUAACUUGCUUAGCUAGCAUUUGUAAACAAUUCUUACUGAGACCUCUUAGGUAAUAAUGCUAGUUUCCUUAACGUUACCUCAUAGUUUUGAGCAAGGUACAUCCCAACAACGUUCCCCAAGGUAAACCCAGCCUGCAA
Esox lucius (northern pike) is the source of this 1224-nucleotide long non-coding RNA. The record is from Ensembl. Lineage: Eukaryota; Metazoa; Chordata; Actinopteri; Esociformes; Esocidae.